Molecule: ribosomal RNA, 210 nt
Filed under: uncultured bacterium
Lineage: Bacteria
Description: partial 16S ribosomal RNA
Rfam family: Bacterial small subunit ribosomal RNA
Source: RNAcentral
AGUCUAGGCGGUUUGGUAAGUGGGAUGUGAAAUCCCCGGGCUCACCCCGGGACCCUGCAUCCCAAACUGCUGAGCUUGAGUACAGGAGAGGGUGGGGGGAAUUCCAGGUGUAGCGGUGAAAUGCGUAGAUAUCUGGAGGAACACCGGUGGCGAAGGCGCCCACCUGGCCUGCUACUGACGCUGAAGCUCGAAAGCUAGGGGAGCAAACGG